Long non-coding RNA from Amphibalanus amphitrite, 2412 nucleotides. RefSeq lists it as uncharacterized. The record is from RefSeq and is a predicted model, not a curated record. The transcript is spliced from 3 exons. NCBI's taxonomy places the organism in Eukaryota, Metazoa, Arthropoda, Thecostraca, Balanomorpha, Balanidae.
UGCUUCUAUCGCUUCACCCCUGGGGAAUCAGUUCCUACACCCCUUGAGUAUAAUGGUCACCAAGGGGUGCUGGCCUGACACGUCCACUUUCUGUUGAGAAGGUUAGAACAAACACCAUGUGUGUCAGUUAGUUGCACAUAUAAUACCUCAAUGUUAAGUCUGCAUAAAGUCUGAAGUCUGUAGCCACUCUUAAUCCUAGGUUGUCGUGACUUUAAUCUAGCCUGGGUGGAUAUUUUGCUGUGCUAAAAGCACGGACUGCGUUACGCCCCAGCACGGCGGCCGGGGCGCCUCCCCUGGAAGAAAACGGCACCGGGGAGGGGGGACGGACGGCGAUGGGGCCGGGGAAAGAGCGCGGCACCGUAACCCCACAAGCCGCCCGCAACACCGCCGUUAUUCUUGUGCCUCUUGGGCGCCGCCGACGCCCUGCGGAUGGGGAGCGCAUCCCAGACGGGCGGGAGCCAGGAGGGCCGCCCGCGCCACCCGGCCGGCGAAGCAGCAGCCCGGCCAGGCGCGGCGGGCGGCUGGGUGGCGGCCGGACAUAACAUGGCCAGUCACCGUGCCGUUUUCGAGAAAUUUAGUAUAAAAGCACGACAUUACCGAGAUUUGAGCUCACACCCAUAUAUGGCCUUGGCUCAGACAGUAUACGAACAGGUGACGGGGAUACCUCCCAUAGAAGGAUGAGACACGAAUUUAAUGCUAAAUAUUAGCGGCCGGCCGCUGUAGGGACGUUUUUGUACGACUUAUAUCUCCGCAGCCACUGGACCGUUACACUUGCAGUUUUUUGUGUGGGGUAGUGUAUGCCCUUCUUAGAAGUAUUUUACUAUGGACAAUGCAUGCGGGUAACCCCCACUGCACGUGACACGUGUAAAACAGAGAGGUGUCACUUUUGUUGUAAUGACAAUAACACGGUACAACUUGAUUGUAAUGACAAUAACUACAUUAUAACAAGGAUGUAGGCACCUACCGGGCAAUGUGUUUAAAUGUGUCACGGUUGGGGUGCAACUGCACGUGCACACGUGCAGGGUGACGCUUCCAGAUCUCGAGAACGGCCGGGCCGAUUGUGCUCAGAUUUGGCACAUCGCUAGAGACCGGAGACGAGAUUGAAGUGCAGCCAACACUGCAUGGUGCUUCUCACAAGAGCUGACCCAAUGCUGUUUUUCAACUCUUCUGGAAAAGAUCCCGAAAGAAGAUAACAGCUUGUUUUCUUCACCGCCACCAGUCUACCUGCUCUCUGCACACUCGGCAGAGCGCGGCAGGGCACCCCACGGAGCUGCACUAGUCACAUCCGGGCCCCACGCCGGUCGACGGCCGAUGCGAUGGAGGCACUACUCCGAGCUGGACUGGUGGCCGGCUCGGAGCUGGUGGAUGUCGACCGCGGAGCGGCGUUCUACUCCUUCCACCGGGCCCGGCAGCAGGAGCUCCAGAUGUCCUUGUGCCACCCGUCCGGCCAGGCCUCCAUCCACCUUGUAGAGGCGGAGCGGGAGACGGUGAAGCUCACGGCUCCGUUGGAACAUGGCCGCUGGGAGGCCUGCGGCGCGGACGACGGAUGCGGCAGUUGGUCAAGACACGGCAGCCUACUCGAGGUGCUUCUCGCCUGGAGGACGCAGGCGAAUCGCGUUAUCCGAGCUGUGCCUCGUCAUGGUGCGAUGAGCCUUAAUAGACUAAUGCAUAUUCUUCCUUUGGCUGUAAUUCAUUUGCUGCUGCCCGCUGGGCUAAGGACUAACUCUGGGCGCCUACUUUGGGCAGACGCUCGUCCAGUGCCGCUCUUCGUUUGCCGCACAUAUCUUUAUUUAUUCUUUGUUACAAUUCCGUCUUUGGUCAUUUUUUUUUUACCAUGGGGGCACUUGAAAGUUUUGUUUUUAAAUCUGUGGACAUUGAACCUGGAAUCGGUUUUUGUCGGAUUUCGGUUUUGUUUUUGCACUGUGGAAAUAUCUCGUUCAAUAUUUUUUAAGAUAGGGCGUGCAUAAACUUUUAGUCUCAUUACUCCUCUGUGCAUCUAAAUUCUAAAGUACUAUAAUGUGUAUCUCAAGUGUUUGGUGCUGUACUGUUAUUAUUUAUGGUUAAUCCAGUGCUGAUUUAUGGUUAAUCCAGUUUUUAUUCGAUUGAAUCGUGUGUAGUGCAUGACAUCCGCGUAUGCACUGUGGAAAUAUCUCGUUCAAUAUUUUUUAAGAUAGGGCGUGCAUAAACUUUUAGUCUCAUUACUCCUCUGUGCAUCUAAAUUCUAAAGUACUAUAAUGUGUAUCUCAAGUGUUUGGUGCUGUACUGUUAUUAUUUAUGGUUAAUCCAGUGCUGAUUUAUGGUUAAUCCAGUUUUUAUUCGAUUGAAUCGUGUGUAGUGCAUGACAUCCGCGUACCGCCUGUAGCAGUGUUAUAUAUUUUCAUUUAUGCUGGAAAAUAAUAACUUUCUUGUUCA